This 903-nucleotide long non-coding RNA is filed under the name Marmota monax (woodchuck). The record is from RNAcentral. Lineage: Eukaryota; Metazoa; Chordata; Mammalia; Rodentia; Sciuridae.
CCUGAGGCCACACCUCCACCUGUGACCACACCUCUACCCUGAGGCCACACCUCCACCUGGGACCACACCUCUACCCUGAGGCCACACCUCACCUGUGACCACACCUCUGCCUGAGGCCACACCUCCCUCUGCCCACUGUGGCAUACUCUCCCUUCCACUGCCCUUGAGCCCAAGGCCUCGCUGCCCCAGGGCCUUUAGAACCCCCAUACCCCCGCCCGGCCCCCAACUUUCACCCCUCCUUCAAGCCCUUGCAGUGGCCUCUGCUCGCCAGGGUGGCCCUGCCCAGGCUCCUGGCCAUGGUCUUUCUGUAUCCUCGGGAGGCCUGCUGCAGAUCUGCUGCCUUCUGAAGACUGGGAGAUCAGAGACGUCACGGGGUGGUGGCCCUGUCAUGUCCCCUAUCUGGUCUGUCCCUGAAUCGAGCCGGAUCCUCAACUUCAGGUGAGAACAACGUUGGGGACUCCCCGGGUCAUGGGCUUCCACCAGCCUGGUCUCCAUGGCACUGCCCCGGCAGGCGGCACACAUCCAGCCCAGAAAGCAGGGCACAGGUCUCGAUGGCCACAGACAUCUGCAGUCCAGAGCUGAGUUAGAGCUCCUGAGGAGUGGCCAUCUGGAGUCUGGCAGAUGGUCCCUUUCUCCCUAACCCAAGACCCUGGACCGAGUGGCCAGCUGUGGCCAGCCUGGGAGAGGCGUGUGUGUCCUGCAGGGUAAAGGACGUGCCCUGGCUGCCACCUUCUCAGGACUCUGGUGUCAGGGCAUCAGGAAGUCACUCCAAAGUGAGGGGCAUGUUCCUCACCUUACUCUACCCCAGAAGAAAGCUGGGGGCCUCGGGGGAUCUCACACUUAUAGUAGGACAUGUUCUGGGGACACAGGGGGCUGGCCGGAGGGGCCCCGGAGCAGGGGCUG